This 72-nucleotide transfer RNA is filed under the name Camelus bactrianus (Bactrian camel). It matches the Rfam family "tRNA". Rfam says of the family: Transfer RNA (tRNA) molecules are approximately 80 nucleotides in length. Their secondary structure includes four short double-helical elements and three loops (D, anti-codon, and T loops). Further hydrogen bonds mediate the characteristic L-shaped molecular structure. tRNAs have two regions of fundamental functional importance: the anti-codon, which is responsible for specific mRNA codon recognition, and the 3' end, to which the tRNAs corresponding amino acid is attached (by aminoacyl-tRNA synthetases). tRNAs cope with the degeneracy of the genetic code in two manners: having more than one tRNA (with a specific anti-codon) for a particular amino acid; and 'wobble' base-pairing, i.e. permitting non-standard base-pairing at the 3rd anti-codon position. RNAcentral also lists the same sequence under 2 other names. The record is from Rfam by way of RNAcentral. Lineage: Eukaryota; Metazoa; Chordata; Mammalia; Artiodactyla; Camelidae.
GGGUAUAUAGCUCAGUGGUAGAGCGCGUGCUUAGCAUGCAGGAGGUCCUGGGUUCAAUUCUUGGUACCUCCU